UACGGGGGGGGCAAGCGUUGUUCGGAAUUACUGGGCGUAAAGGGCUCGUAGGCGGCCAACUAAGUCAGACGUGAAAUCCCUCGGCUUAACCGGGGAACUGCGUCUGAUACUGGAUGGCUUGAGUGUGGGAGAGGGAUGCGGAAUUCCAGGUGUAGCGGUGAAAUGCGUAGAUAUCUGGAGGAACACCGGUGGCGAAGGCGGCAUCCUGGACCACGACUGACGCUGAGUGAGCGAAAGCCAGGGGAGCAAACGGG
This 254-nucleotide ribosomal RNA is filed under the name uncultured bacterium. RNAcentral's name for it is "partial 16S ribosomal RNA". It matches the Rfam family "Bacterial small subunit ribosomal RNA", at positions 524 to 776 of the family's 1533-position model. The record is from RNAcentral.